RNAcentral lists this ribosomal RNA (876 nucleotides) under Lactiplantibacillus plantarum. RNAcentral describes it as "bacterial SSU rRNA". It matches the Rfam family "Bacterial small subunit ribosomal RNA", at positions 70 to 923 of the family's 1533-position model. Lineage: Bacteria; Bacillati; Bacillota; Bacilli; Lactobacillales; Lactobacillaceae. The record is from RNAcentral.
UGAUUGGUGCUUGCAUCAUGAUUUACAUUUGAGUGAGUGGCGAACUGGUGAGUAACACGUGGGAAACCUGCCCAGAAGCGGGGGAUAACACCUGGAAACAGAUGCUAAUACCGCAUAACAACUUGGACCGCAUGGUCCGAGUUUGAAAGAUGGCUUCGGCUAUCACUUUUGGAUGGUCCCGCGGCGUAUUAGCUAGAUGGUGGGGUAACGGCUCACCAUGGCAAUGAUACGUAGCCGACCUGAGAGGGUAAUCGGCCACAUUGGGACUGAGACACGGCCCAAACUCCUACGGGAGGCAGCAGUAGGGAAUCUUCCACAAUGGACGAAAGUCUGAUGGAGCAACGCCGCGUGAGUGAAGAAGGGUUUCGGCUCGUAAAACUCUGUUGUUAAAGAAGAACAUAUCUGAGAGUAACUGUUCAGGUAUUGACGGUAUUUAACCAGAAAGCCACGGCUAACUACGUGCCAGCAGCCGCGGUAAUACGUAGGUGGCAAGCGUUGUCCGGAUUUAUUGGGCGUAAAGCGAGCGCAGGCGGUUUUUUAAGUCUGAUGUGAAAGCCUUCGGCUCAACCGAAGAAGUGCAUCGGAAACUGGGAAACUUGAGUGCAGAAGAGGACAGUGGAACUCCAUGUGUAGCGGUGAAAUGCGUAGAUAUAUGGAAGAACACCAGUGGCGAAGGCGGCUGUCUGGUCUGUAACUGACGCUGAGGCUCGAAAGUAUGGGUAGCAAACAGGAUUAGAUACCCUGGUAGUCCAUACCGUAAACGAUGAAUGCUAAGGGUUGGAGGGUUUCCGCCCUUCAGGGCUGCAGCUAACGCAUUAAGAUUCCGCCUGGGGAUACGGCCGCAAGGCUGAAACUCAAGGAAUUGACGGGGGCCCC